GAUGGACGCUGGCGGCGUGCUUAACACAUGCAAGUCGAACGAAGCAUUUGCGACAGAUUUUUUCGGAAUGAAGUUGCUUAUGACUGAGUGGCGGACGGGUGAGUAACGCGUGGGUAACCUGCCCUGUACUGGGGGAUAGCAGCUGGAAACGGCUGGUAAUACCGCAUAAGCGCACAAUGUUGCAUGACAUGGUGUGAAAAACUCCGGUGGUAUAAGAUGGACCCGCGUCUGAUUAGCUAGUUGGUGAGAUAACAGCCCACCAAGGCGACGAUCAGUAGCCGACCUGAGAGGGUGACCGGCCACAUUGGGACUGAGACACGGCCCAGACUCCUACGGGAGGCAGCAGUGGGGAAUAUUGCACAAUGGAGGAAACUCUGAUGCAGCGACGCCGCGUGAGUGAAGAAGUAAUUCGUUAUGUAAAGCUCUAUCAGCAGGGAAGAUAGUGACGGUACCUGACUAAGAAGCGCCGGCUAAAUACGUG
Molecule: ribosomal RNA, 481 nt
Filed under: uncultured bacterium
Lineage: Bacteria
Description: partial 16S ribosomal RNA
Rfam family: Bacterial small subunit ribosomal RNA
Source: RNAcentral